AAAACCUGAGUUCAAAUUCAGUCUUAGAUUCAUACAAGCUUUGUGACCCUAGACAAAACGUUUAACUUCUAUCAGUUGCUGGAGGCCAGCACCUGGUAGUGGGCCCCUAACCCCGUGAGAUUACCACACCCCAAGCAGCUUGUUCCGGGACAAACCGGACAAACAAGAUGUUGCCACACCGCCCCUGGAAAGUCCCGGAGGCCCAUUUUCCCCUUUUGCCCCUCCCCGCUUUUGCCCUAUAUAAGCUUGUAACGCUCAAAAAUAAAAUUAGACCUUGCCUACCAUCCUUUUGGUCUCACUCCUCCUUUUCACCCAUUCCCUUCAGCCAGGGUCCUCCUCGACCCCCCACGUAUACUGGCCCUGCAGGUCGGGGCAAGUGGCGCCCAACGUGGGGCUCGAGGUUCGGACUUCUGCCAGGCGGACCAGCAUUGAGAAACGAUUCGUCGCGACCCCCUCCUUCUCAUCGCUCAUGAAGAGCCCCUGCGUUUUGAAAAUGACGAUCCUCGUAAUUUUCCUCCUGUUCCGUGGGAGCCACGGUGGUUUUCAAUCUCCUGACCCAGUAGCGCUCAGCCGUGCCCUCUUUGGAAGCCCUUGUGACUGCGGCGGGGGCACGUUCACUGUCCGUCCCGCCACCUACACGCAAGAAGUGGACUGCGGGGAAAAGACAGCCUACCUCGCCUACCGUCAUUCUAUCACGGGCGUCUCCAAACCCAAGUGGGAAUGCGUAAGGAAGCCCCGAGUUAUCCCUCCGAAUGGUGGCCAGCCCGGGCCUUGCCCCAGUGAUUGCAACUACCUUGAGGCCUUGCACUCCACAUGCUAUAGUUCUACCCAGCAGUGCAGUGGCAGCUCAGGAACAGUCUAUCUUACUACAAUACAGGAAAGAGAAUAUGGUGGCUCCACAGGAGGGGACUGGGCGCAUAUAACUAGCCAAGGCCUACGUGGAAGUACCAAUAAGUAUGCUCAGGCUUCCUGUCGUAAAGAAAAUAUUGGAAAAAAUGUCUGUUGGCCCCUUCAUGCACCUGUCCAUAUCUCUGAUGGGGGUGGCCCUACAGACCAAAUUAGGGAACAUGAGAUUGAGGCUUCUCUUAAAAACACCGUCAAUAUCCAUUACCACCAACUUGCUUCGUCAGAAGAUCCUACUGAUACCAUGGAAGAGGGUCUCCAGUUCUCGAAGCUCGUGCAUCCGGAAUCUCGCUGCUCGCGGUGGUGGAGAAAUAUUAAGGAUAAAAAGUGAUCUGGCAGCUGUGAGAGAGCCCAUGACGGGAAUAUUGAGGUCCCAUGUUUCAAAAAAAAAGAUCAGCGCGGCUGCAGUUGUUUCCCCAUGACGGGAAUAGAGUGAGGCCAUGAUGGGUUACAUCGUGGGGUCCCCUCGCUUAGCCUAAGACAGGGACCACUGCCACUAAUGCGCUUUGAACAUGGAGGCCGACCUCAUAGCCUAAGACAGGCCUCUCACCUGCUAUUUUAAAUACAAAAUGGGGGACAUGCUGGAGGCCAGCACCUGGUAGUGGGCCCCUAACCCCGUGAGAUUACCACACCCCAAGCAGCUUGUUCCGGGACAAACCGGACAAACAAGAUGUUGCCACACCGCCCCUGGAAAGUCCCGGAGGCCCAUUUUCCCCUUUUGCCCCUCCCCGCUUUUGCCCUAUAUAAGCUUGUAACGCUCAAAAAUAAAAUUAGACCUUGCCUACCA
This is a long non-coding RNA of Phascolarctos cinereus (koala), 1690 nucleotides long. The record is from Ensembl. NCBI's taxonomy places the organism in Eukaryota, Metazoa, Chordata, Mammalia, Diprotodontia, Phascolarctidae.